Molecule: ribosomal RNA, 482 nt
Filed under: Fusarium solani
Lineage: Eukaryota; Fungi; Ascomycota; Sordariomycetes; Hypocreales; Nectriaceae
Also listed under: 1 other name
Description: eukaryotic LSU rRNA
Rfam family: Eukaryotic large subunit ribosomal RNA
Source: RNAcentral
CAACAGGGAUUGCCUCAGUAACGGCGAGUGAAGCGGCAACAGCUCAAAUUUGAAAUCUGGCUCUCGGGCCCGAGUUGUAAUUUGUAGAGGAUGCUUUUGGUGAGGUGCCUUCCGAGUUCCCUGGAACGGGACGCCAUAGAGGGUGAGAGCCCCGUCUGGUUGGACGCCGAACCUCUGUAAAGCUCCUUCGACGAGUCGAGUAGUUUGGGAAUGCUGCUCUAAAUGGGAGGUAUAUGUCUUCUAAAGCUAAAUACCGGCCAGAGACCGAUAGCGCACAAGUAGAGUGAUCGAAAGAUGAAAAGAACUUUGAAAAGAGAGUUAAACAGUACGUGAAAUUGUUGAAAGGGAAGCGCUUGUGACCAGACUUGGGCUUGGUUGAUCAUCCGGGGUUCUCCCCGGUGCACUCUUCCGGCCCAGGCCAGCAUCAGUUCGCCCUGGGGGACAAAGGCUUCGGGAACGUGGCUCUCUCCGGGGAGUGUUAU